UACGUAGGCAGCAAGCGUUGUUCGGAGUUACUGGGCGUAAAGGGUGCGUAGGCGGCCUUAUAAGUAUGGUGUGAAAUCUCCCGGCUUAACUGGGAGGGUGCGCUAUAGACUGUGGGGCUAGAGUGUGGGAAGAGGAAAGUGGAAUUCCUGGUGUAGCGGUGAAAUGCGUAGAUAUCAGGAGGAACACCGGUGGUGUAAACGGCUUUCUGGACCAUAACUGACGCUGAGGCACGAAAGCGUGGGUAGCAAACAGG
RNAcentral lists this ribosomal RNA (254 nucleotides) under uncultured bacterium. RNAcentral's name for it is "partial 16S ribosomal RNA". It matches the Rfam family "Bacterial small subunit ribosomal RNA", at positions 524 to 776 of the family's 1533-position model. The record is from RNAcentral.